GGUGAGUCGAAGCUCUGUGGCGGAGCGCCUGGCUCUUCAUCCGGGUGGCCGCGGGUUCGAAUCCCGCCGCUCACCG
RNAcentral lists this transfer RNA (76 nucleotides) under Myxococcales bacterium. Its description in RNAcentral is "tRNA-Lys". It matches the Rfam family "tRNA". Rfam says of the family: Transfer RNA (tRNA) molecules are approximately 80 nucleotides in length. Lineage: Bacteria; Pseudomonadati; Myxococcota; Myxococcia; Myxococcales. The record is from RNAcentral.